This 326-nucleotide ribosomal RNA is filed under the name uncultured soil bacterium. RNAcentral's name for it is "bacterial SSU rRNA". It matches the Rfam family "Bacterial small subunit ribosomal RNA", at positions 26 to 355 of the family's 1533-position model. The record is from RNAcentral.
AGAUUGAACGCUGGCGGCAUGCCUUACACAUGCAAGUCGAACGGCAGCACGGGAGCAAUCCUGGUGGCGAGUGGCGAACGGGUGAGUAAUACAUCGGAACGUGCCCAAUCGUGGGGGAUAACGCAGCGAAAGCUGUGCUAAUACCGCAUAAGAUCUACGGAUGAAAGCAGGGGAUCGCAAGACCUUGCGCGAAUGGAGCGGCCGAUGGCAGAUUAGGUAGUUGGUGAGGUAAAGGCUCACCAAGCCUUCGAUCUGUAGCUGGUCUGAGAGGACGACCAGCCACACUGGGACUGAGACACGGCCAGACUCCUACGGGAGCAGCAGGU